Molecule: ribosomal RNA, 778 nt
Filed under: Planktothricoides raciborskii
Lineage: Bacteria; Bacillati; Cyanobacteriota; Cyanophyceae; Oscillatoriales; Oscillatoriaceae
Description: bacterial SSU rRNA
Rfam family: Bacterial small subunit ribosomal RNA
Source: RNAcentral
AUAUAAGAGAUUGGAAACCGGCUCAGGAUGAACGCUGGCGGUCUGCUUAACACAUGCAAGUCGAACGGAAUCCUUCGGGAUUUAGUGGCGGACGGGUGAGUAACACGUGAGAAUCUGCACUCAGGAUGGGGACAACAGCGGGAAACUGCUGCUAAUACCCAAUGUGCCGAAAGGUAAAAGAUUUAUCGCCUGAGAAUGAGCUCGCGGCCGAUUAGUUAGUUGGUGGGGUAAUGGCCUACCAAGACGGCGAUCGGUAGCUGGUCUGAGAGGAUGAGCAGCCACACUGGGACUGAGACACGGCCCAGACUCCUACGGGAGGCAGCAGUGGGGAAUUUUCCGCAAUGGGCGCAAGCCUGACGGAGCAAGACCGCGUGGGGGAGGAAGGCUCUUGGGUUGUAAACCCCUUUUCUCAGGGAAGAAGUUCUGACGGUACCUGAGGAAUCAGCCUCGGCUAACUCCGUGCCAGCAGCCGCGGUAAUACGGAGGAGGCAAGCGUUAUCCGGAAUUAUUGGGCGUAAAGCGUCCGUAGGUGGUGGGGCAAGUCGGCGGUUAAAGACUGGGGCUUAACUCCAGAAAGGCCGUGGAAACUGCACCACUAGAGGGCAGUAGGGGUAGAGGGAAUUCCCGGUGUAGCGGUGAAAUGCGUAGAGAUCGGGAAGAACACCAGUGGCGAAAGCGCUCUACUGGACUGCAACUGACACUCAGGGACGAAAGCUAGGGGAGCGAAUGGGAUUAGAUACCCCAGUAGUCCUAGCCGUAAACGAUGAACUAGUACCAU